RNAcentral lists this long non-coding RNA (202 nucleotides) under Eucalyptus grandis. RNAcentral describes it as "long non-coding RNA (EGRA_LNC006881)". The record is from RNAcentral. Lineage: Eukaryota; Viridiplantae; Streptophyta; Magnoliopsida; Myrtales; Myrtaceae.
AAGAUUACCGUCAGCAGCUCUGGCUUUUCUGCUCUUAAAGCACCUCUAAUGACGGCUGCAUUAGUCCCGGAUUCCCCCGAUGUAUAUAUGUGGUUUUUCUACGAGGGAAAGUAGUACUCUCAAGACAAAAGACCUUAUCUAUAAAUUGAAAAUGGAUAUUUGGUGCUGGCAUUCCAUAGCUAACUACAAUCCUCAACCUAAA